GAUGAACGCUGACAGAAUGCUUAACACAUGCAAGUCUUUGGCGAAGCUGUGCUUGCACAGCCUAGCCAAGGCGGACGGGUGAGUAACGCGUAAGGAACUUGCCCUGCAGUCAGGGAUAACAGACGGAAACGACUGAUAAGACCUGGUAAAGUCAGGCGGACUCAUGUCCAGCCUGAUGAAAAGAGAUGCUGCAGGAGAGCCUUGCGUCCUAUUAGCUUGUUGGUGGGGUAACGGCCCACCAAGGCGAUGAUAGGUAGCCGGCCUGAGAGGGUGGACGGCCACAAGGGGACUGAGAUACGGUCCUUACUCCUACGGGAGGCAGCAGUGGGGAAUAUUGGACAAUGGGGGCAACCCUGAUCCAGCAAUUCUGUGUGCACGAUGAAGGUUUUCGGAUUGUAAAGUGCUUUCAGCAGGGAAGAAAAAAAUGACGGUACCUGCAGAAGAAGCGACGGCUAAAUACGUG
Molecule: ribosomal RNA, 463 nt
Filed under: uncultured bacterium
Lineage: Bacteria
Description: partial 16S ribosomal RNA
Rfam family: Bacterial small subunit ribosomal RNA
Source: RNAcentral